CGGAUUGAGGCUGAAACCCGCCUCCAUGAAGUUGGAUUCGCUAGUAAUCGCGCAUCAGCCAUGGCGCGGUGAAUACGUUCCCGGGCCUUGUACACACCGCCCGUCAAGCCAUGGAAGCUGGGGGUGCCUGAAGUUCGUGACCGGAAGGAGCGACCUAGGGCAAAACCGGUGACUGGGGCUAAGUCGUAACAAGGUAGC
This 198-nucleotide ribosomal RNA is filed under the name uncultured bacterium. RNAcentral describes it as "partial 16S ribosomal RNA". It matches the Rfam family "Bacterial small subunit ribosomal RNA", at positions 1294 to 1500 of the family's 1533-position model. The record is from RNAcentral.